UACGAAGGGGGCUAGCGUUGCUCGGAAUCACUGGGCGUAAAGGGUGCGUAGGCGGUGUAGCAAGUCGGGAGUGAAAUCUCUGGGCUUAACCCAGAGGCUGCUUCCGAAACUGCUGUGCUUGAGUGUGGGAGAGGCGCGUGGAAUUGCAGGUGUAGCGGUGAAAUGCGUAGAUAUCUGCAGGAACACCCGUGGCGAAAGCGGCGCGCUGGACCACUACUGACGCUGAGGAACGAAAGCUAGGGGAGCAAACAGG
RNAcentral lists this ribosomal RNA (253 nucleotides) under uncultured bacterium. RNAcentral describes it as "partial 16S ribosomal RNA". It matches the Rfam family "Bacterial small subunit ribosomal RNA", at positions 524 to 776 of the family's 1533-position model. The record is from RNAcentral.